UCCCGAACAGCUCAGUUGGUAGCCUGCAAAUACGGAGCAUUUGGAGGCCGCAGAGAGCAAAUCUGACUGUUAAUCAGAGGGUCCUUGGUUCAAGUCCAAGUUCGGGAG
This 108-nucleotide transfer RNA is filed under the name Bacteroidales bacterium. RNAcentral describes it as "tRNA-Asn". The record is from RNAcentral. Lineage: Bacteria; Pseudomonadati; Bacteroidota; Bacteroidia; Bacteroidales.